Molecule: non-coding RNA, 1544 nt
Organism: Anas platyrhynchos (mallard)
Lineage: Eukaryota; Metazoa; Chordata; Aves; Anseriformes; Anatidae
Source: RefSeq, a predicted model, not a curated record
UCUUCCCUUUUUCUGAAGAGCAGCACCAGCAAUCAUGAAGGAAGCUACUCACUGACUAGAGUAAGGGUGGUAGAAUCUGAUUCAUGCUCUUGGCUUCACUUUGCAGAUGAGCUGUGAAAAUAAAUGUGGAUACUGAAAGAGCCAGUACCAUUAAAGUGCCCACGAGGGUUUAAACACCAUGCAGAUUGUGUUGUUGCCACACACUGAAGAAAAGCCAAUUUUGAAUAAUUUCUCAGUAAAUGAGGCCUGCUUGUGCUGUACUCUGAAAAAGGGAAGGGGCUGGCCAUAGAAACUGAAACCUUGGAAACAUGUCUGAUUGCAGUGAGGACACUGGCCAACAUGCUCUAAGGAAUAUUUCUGAGGUGGCUGAAGACACUACCAUGCCUGUCCAUGCACCCUGCCCUUCUUCUGUUACUCACUUCAUCCCCAAGAGCAGUGAGCACUGAACAGUUUGCCUCUGGGGUGAUUUUGUUGAAACCUUGUGCUAUGCUUUGGGGCAGUUAAGACACAGACACAUGUUGUUCCUGCCUCUCCUAGAGGAUCUGCAAACCCAAGAGGGCAGGAGAGAUAGCCAGGAGACCAAUAACAUCUGAAAGUGUCCCUGCAAGGUUUUCCUGAGUCUGUCUGAUAAAAAGACCCUUAAUUAAGUUGGUAGAGUACAGUCAAGGGUCCACAGUCUCCUCUGGUAUAAAUCAGUACCUGGUGCUUUGGAAAUCCAUGGAGCUGUCAGGUUUACAGCAGCUAACCCCAAAAUUGUUCGUAGUUCAUAGUUCAUGCCCUGGUAAAUGUUUAGCUAGCAGAAGGCAAGGUUUCCUGUACGCUGUACUGACCAGGUGCAUGUCAGGACAGGGUGCAUCUUCUUCCCCGUAGAGCUGCAGGUCCGACCCAUCGACGCCUGCCCUCACAUCACCCUCAAGCAGAGCAGCCACGACCUUCCCCAAAGUGAUUUGCAGUCACUCAGGUAGUGGGCUGAAUGCAACGUUAAGGAAUUCAACUCAUGCCUAAUUAAGACGAUGCAAUCAACUGGUCCAUAAACACUUAAGGAUCUUCUUAAUAACUCUAUUUUUAUCAGCUUGAGUGCUAGACACUGUAGUGUGAGGUGAUCAUUAGUGCCAAUGUUUGAAGUCAAGGAAGUUUUUCCCUUCUGUAUUUUCCCUCAUGAGCAUUUGCUCUCUACUAACCCACUCCCUCUGCCAUUACUGUGCUGUGCUGGCUCCCGUUUGCUGCUAACAUCUAAUAUAAAGUAAUUUGCUCUAAAUUACUUUAAAAGUACGGAUGGCCAUGCUUCCAAAAAUACAGUCUUAAUAACCAGUUUCUAGGCACAAUUUUAGGAUAUGAGAAACUGAAAGAAGAAGAAGAAAAAAGAAUUAACUAGAAUUGCUUUAAGUGAAAUUUUUUUUUCUAAAGAAGGUUCUCAAGAGCUACUUUUUUUUUUUUUUUGGUGGGAAAAUGCAUGUUAUCUGUUUGUCUUCAUUUCUUAGUUCAGAAAUGGCUUUUUAGAUUUCUGAACACAUUUAUAAUAAAAUACAGUUUACAAAAUUAAA